RNAcentral lists this unclassified non-coding RNA (315 nucleotides) under Hevea brasiliensis (rubber tree). The record is from RNAcentral. Lineage: Eukaryota; Viridiplantae; Streptophyta; Magnoliopsida; Malpighiales; Euphorbiaceae.
AGAGUGUUGAGUAAUCUUGUUUUAGCAAUUGGGCUUACUUAUCUUACUAUGACUGGUCAGCUAGGUUGGAUCUUGGAUGCUAUUGUUUCUGUUUGGCUCCUUGCAGUUCUACUUCCAAUUUUAGGUUUGGGAGCUUUUAUUUGGUGGGCUGGACGAGAUAUUGUUCAAAGCGCUUGCCCAAACUGCGGGAAUGAAUUUCAAAUUUUCAAGUCUACUUUAAAUGAUGAGGUUCAGCUUUGCCCUUUCUUAGAACGAGUACUGAAAUCACCAAAUGCUUGACCAAAUGUAGUUGACUGGUUGGAGAACGUUACUGGG